RNA transcript from Octodon degus (degu), 469 nucleotides. It is a transcript of the gene named cytochrome c, somatic pseudogene, with no coding region annotated. NCBI's taxonomy places the organism in Eukaryota, Metazoa, Chordata, Mammalia, Rodentia, Octodontidae. The record is from RefSeq and is a predicted model, not a curated record. The transcript has a single exon.
AAAUGGGUGAUGUUGAGAAAGGCAAGAAAAUUUUUGUACAGAAGUGUGCCCAGUGCCACACUGUUGAGAAGGGAGGCAAGCACAAGAAUGGGCCAAAUCUCCAGGGUCUCUUUGGGCGGAAGACAGGUCAGGCCACUGGCUUCUCUUACACAGAUACCAACAAGAACAAAGGUAUCACCUGGGGAGAGGAUACACUGAUGGAGUAUUUGGAGAAUCCCAAGAAGUACAUCCCGGGAACAAAAAUGAUCUUUGCUGGCAUCAAGAAGAAGGGAGAAAGGGCAGACUUAAUAGCUUACCUCAAAAAGGCUACUAAUGAGUAAUAGUCACUGCCUUAUUUAUUACAGAACAGAAAUGUCUCAUGGCUUUUGUAUGUGUACCAUAAUUUAAUCUCAUACACCAGAAUUCAGAUCAUGAGUGGCUGAUAGAAUAUUUUUGUUGGACAGUCCUGAUUUAAAUAAAAUUGGCUUGU